GUUAACGCUGGCGGCGUGCCUAACACAUGCAAGUCGAACGGUUCUAAGCGCGAGCUUAGGAUAGUGGCGAACGGGUGAGUAAAAGGUAGGAAUCUACCCCUUGGACGGAGAUAGCUACUGGAAACGGUAGGUAAACUUCGAUAAGCCCGAGAGGGGAAAGUGGUGAGACAGCCGAGAGAUGAGCCUACUCUCCAUCAGGUAGUUGGUGAGAUAAAAGCUUACCAAGCCGAUGACGGAUAACCGGUGUGAGAGCAUGAACGGUCACAAGGGCACUGAGAGACGGGCCCUACUCCUACGGGAGGCAGCAGUGGGGAAUCUUGGACAAUGGGCGAAAGCCUGAUCCAGCGACGCCGCGUGGAGGAAGAAGUCCUUCGGGAUGUAAACUUCUGAACUAGCCGAAUAAAAGGCCUGUGGACACACAGGAGAAGAAAGUAGGCUAGGAAAAGUCCCGGCUAACUACGUG
RNAcentral lists this ribosomal RNA (463 nucleotides) under uncultured bacterium. Its description in RNAcentral is "bacterial SSU rRNA". It matches the Rfam family "Bacterial small subunit ribosomal RNA", at positions 29 to 507 of the family's 1533-position model. The record is from RNAcentral.